This 253-nucleotide ribosomal RNA is filed under the name uncultured bacterium. RNAcentral describes it as "partial 16S ribosomal RNA". It matches the Rfam family "Bacterial small subunit ribosomal RNA", at positions 524 to 776 of the family's 1533-position model. The record is from RNAcentral.
UACGGAGGAUCCAAGCGUUAUCCGGAAUUAUUGGGCGUAAAGAGCGCGUAGGCGGUCCGGUAAGUCGGUUGUGAAAGUCGGGGGCUCAACCCUCGGAUGCCGAUCGAUACUGUCGGGCUAGAGUCCGGAAGAGGCGAGUGGAAUUCCUGGUGUAGCGGUGAAAUGCGCAGAUAUCAGGAGGAACACCAAUUGCGAAGGCAGCUCGCUGGGACGUAACUGACGCUGAGACGCGAAAGCGUGGGGAGCAAACAGG